This 74-nucleotide transfer RNA is filed under the name bacterium. RNAcentral's name for it is "tRNA-Trp". It matches the Rfam family "tRNA". Rfam says of the family: Transfer RNA (tRNA) molecules are approximately 80 nucleotides in length. Their secondary structure includes four short double-helical elements and three loops (D, anti-codon, and T loops). The record is from RNAcentral.
AAGGGUGUAGUGAAAUGGUAUCACGGCGGAUUCCAAAUCCGCAAGUCUGAGUUCGAUUCUUAGCACCUUUGCCA